Molecule: ribosomal RNA, 563 nt
Filed under: uncultured fungus
Lineage: Eukaryota; Fungi
Description: eukaryotic LSU rRNA
Rfam family: 5.8S ribosomal RNA (bases 209-362)
Source: RNAcentral
AAGUCGUAACAAGGUUUCCGUAGGUGAACCUGCGGAAGGAUCAUUAAAGAAUGCCCCGUUUUUUGAAAUGGGUUCUGUUCCCAAACCGUGUAUACAUACUUUUGUUGCUUUGGCAGGCCGCCUUCGGGCGUCGGCUCACGCUGACAGCGCCUGCCAGAGGACCCAAACUCGUUUGUUUAGUGAUGUCUGAGUACUAUAUAAUAGUUAAAACUUUCAACAACGGAUCUCUUGGUUCUGGCAUCGAUGAAGAACGCAGCGAAAUGCGAUAAGUAAUGUGAAUUGCAGAAUUCAGUGAAUCAUCGAGUCUUUGAACGCACAUUGCGCCCCCUGGUAUUCCGGGGGGCAUGCCUGUCCGAGCGUCAUUGCUGCCCUCAAGCACGGCUUGUGUGUUGGGCUCCGUCCCCCCGGGGACGGGUCCGAAAGGCAGCGGCGGCACCGAGUCCGGUCCUCGAGCGUAUGGGGCUUUGUCACCCGCUCUGUAGGCCCGGCCGGCGCCAGCCGACAACCGAUCAUCCUUUUUUCAGGUUGACCUCGGAUCAGGUAGGGAUACCCGCUGAACUUAA